RNAcentral lists this ribosomal RNA (460 nucleotides) under uncultured bacterium. RNAcentral's name for it is "partial 16S ribosomal RNA". It matches the Rfam family "Bacterial small subunit ribosomal RNA", at positions 338 to 795 of the family's 1533-position model. The record is from RNAcentral.
CCUACGGGUGGCAGCAGUGAGGAAUAUUGGUCAAUGGGCGCGAGCCUGAACCAGCCAAGUAGCGUGAAGGAUGACUGCCCUACGGGUUGUAAACUUCUUUUAUAAAGGAAUAAAGUGAGGCACGUGUGCCUUUUUGUAUGUACUUUAUGAUUAAGGAUCGGCUAACUCCGUGCCCGCAGCCGCGGUAAUACGGAGGAUCCGAGCGUUAUCCGGAUUUUUUGGGUUUAAAGGGAUCGUAAGUGGGUUGAUAAGUUAGUUGUUAAAGUUCGCGGCUCAACCGUAAAAUUGCAAUUGAUACUGGCAGUCUUGAGUACAGUUGAGGUAGGCGGAAUUCGUGGUGUAGCGGUGAAAUGCUUAGAUAUCACGAAGAACUCCGAUUGCGAAGGCAGCUUACUAAACUGCCACUGACAUUGAUGCACGAAAGUGUGGGUAUCAAACAGGAUUAGAUACCCUAGUAGUC